RNAcentral lists this ribosomal RNA (2905 nucleotides) under Enterobacter roggenkampii. RNAcentral's name for it is "23S ribosomal RNA". It matches the Rfam family "Bacterial large subunit ribosomal RNA". Lineage: Bacteria; Pseudomonadati; Pseudomonadota; Gammaproteobacteria; Enterobacterales; Enterobacteriaceae. The record is from RNAcentral.
GGUUAAGCGACUAAGCGUACACGGUGGAUGCCCUGGCAGUCAGAGGCGAUGAAGGACGUGCUAAUCUGCGAAAAGCGCCGGCGAGGUGAUAUGAACCUUUGACCCGGCGAUGUCCGAAUGGGGAAACCCAGUGUGUUCCGACACACUAUCGUUAACUGAAUACAUAGGUUAACGAGGCGAACCGGGGGAACUGAAACAUCUAAGUACCCCGAGGAAAAGAAAUCAACCGAGAUUCCCCCAGUAGCGGCGAGCGAACGGGGAGCAGCCCAGAGUCUGAAUCAGCUUGUGUGUUAGUGGAAGCGUCUGGAAAGUCGCACGGUACAGGGUGACAGUCCCGUACACGAAAACGCACAGGUUGUGAACUCGAAGAGUAGGGCGGGACACGUGGUAUCCUGUCUGAAUAUGGGGGGACCAUCCUCCAAGGCUAAAUACUCCUGACUGACCGAUAGUGAACCAGUACCGUGAGGGAAAGGCGAAAAGAACCCCGGCGAGGGGAGUGAAAAAGAACCUGAAACCGUGUACGUACAAGCAGUGGGAGCACCUUCGUGGUGUGACUGCGUACCUUUUGUAUAAUGGGUCAGCGACUUAUAUUCUGUAGCAAGGUUAACCGUAUAGGGGAGCCGAAGGGAAACCGAGUCUUAACUGGGCGUUAAGUUGCAGGGUAUAGACCCGAAACCCGGUGAUCUAGCCAUGGGCAGGUUGAAGGUUGGGUAACACUAACUGGAGGACCGAACCGACUAAUGUUGAAAAAUUAGCGGAUGACUUGUGGCUGGGGGUGAAAGGCCAAUCAAACCGGGAGAUAGCUGGUUCUCCCCGAAAGCUAUUUAGGUAGCGCCUCGUGAACUCAUCUUCGGGGGUAGAGCACUGUUUCGGCUAGGGGGCCAUCCCGGCUUACCAACCCGAUGCAAACUACGAAUACCGAAGAAUGUUAUCACGGGAGACACACGGCGGGUGCUAACGUCCGUCGUGAAGAGGGAAACAACCCAGACCGCCAGCUAAGGUCCCAAAGUCAUGGUUAAGUGGGAAACGAUGUGGGAAGGCACAGACAGCCAGGAUGUUGGCUUAGAAGCAGCCAUCAUUUAAAGAAAGCGUAAUAGCUCACUGGUCGAGUCGGCCUGCGCGGAAGAUGUAACGGGGCUAAACCAUGCACCGAAGCUGCGGCAGCGACACUAUGUGUUGUUGGGUAGGGGAGCGUUCUGUAAGCCGUUGAAGGUGGCCUGUGAGGGUUGCUGGAGGUAUCAGAAGUGCGAAUGCUGACAUAAGUAACGAUAAAGCGGGUGAAAAGCCCGCUCGCCGGAAGACCAAGGGUUCCUGUCCAACGUUAAUCGGGGCAGGGUGAGUCGACCCCUAAGGCGAGGCCGAAAGGCGUAGUCGAUGGGAAACAGGUUAAUAUUCCUGUACUUGGUGUUACUGCGAAGGGGGGACGGAGAAGGCUAUGUUAGCCGGGCGACGGUUGUCCCGGUUUAAGCAUGUAGGCGGAACGAUUAGGUAAAUCCGGUCGUUUUUUAACGCUGAGGUGUGAUGACGAGGCACUACGGUGCUGAAGUAACAAAUGCCCUGCUUCCAGGAAAAGCCUCUAAGCAUCAGGUAACAUCAAAUCGUACCCCAAACCGACACAGGUGGUCAGGUAGAGAAUACCAAGGCGCUUGAGAGAACUCGGGUGAAGGAACUAGGCAAAAUGGUGCCGUAACUUCGGGAGAAGGCACGCUGAUAUGUAGGUGAAGCCCCUGCGGGUGGAGCUGAAAUCAGUCGAAGAUACCAGCUGGCUGCAACUGUUUAUUAAAAACACAGCACUGUGCAAACACGAAAGUGGACGUAUACGGUGUGACGCCUGCCCGGUGCCGGAAGGUUAAUUGAUGGGGUUAGCGGUAACGCGAAGCUCUUGAUCGAAGCCCCGGUAAACGGCGGCCGUAACUAUAACGGUCCUAAGGUAGCGAAAUUCCUUGUCGGGUAAGUUCCGACCUGCACGAAUGGCGUAAUGAUGGCCAGGCUGUCUCCACCCGAGACUCAGUGAAAUUGAACUCGCUGUGAAGAUGCAGUGUACCCGCGGCAAGACGGAAAGACCCCGUGAACCUUUACUAUAGCUUGACACUGAACACUGGUCCUUGAUGUGUAGGAUAGGUGGGAGGCUUUGAAGUGUGGACGCCAGUCUGCAUGGAGCCGUCCUUGAAAUACCACCCUUUAAUGGCUGGUGUUCUAACGUAGACCCGUAAUCCGGGUUGCGGACAGUGUCUGGUGGGUAGUUUGACUGGGGCGGUCUCCUCCCAAAGAGUAACGGAGGAGCACGAAGGUUAGCUAAUCCUGGUCGGACAUCAGGAGGUUAGUGCAAUGGCAUAAGCUAGCUUGACUGCGAGAGUGACGGCUCGAGCAGGUGCGAAAGCAGGUCAUAGUGAUCCGGUGGUUCUGAAUGGAAGGGCCAUCGCUCAACGGAUAAAAGGUACUCCGGGGAUAACAGGCUGAUACCGCCCAAGAGUUCAUAUCGACGGCGGUGUUUGGCACCUCGAUGUCGGCUCAUCACAUCCUGGGGCUGAAGUAGGUCCCAAGGGUAUGGCUGUUCGCCAUUUAAAGUGGUACGCGAGCUGGGUUUAGAACGUCGUGAGACAGUUCGGUCCCUAUCUGCCGUGGGCGCUGGAGAAUUGAGGGGGGCUGCUCCUAGUACGAGAGGACCGGAGUGGACGCAUCACUGGUGUUCGGGUUGUCAUGCCAAUGGCACUGCCCGGUAGCUAAAUGCGGAAAAGAUAAGUGCUGAAAGCAUCUAAGCACGAAACUUGCCCCGAGAUGAGUUCUCCCUGAGACUUUAAGUCUCCUGAAGGAACGUUGAAGACGACGACGUUGAUAGGUCGGGUGUGUAAGCGCAGCGAUGCGUUGAGCUAACCGAUACUAAUGAACCGUGAGGCUUAACCUU